Molecule: ribosomal RNA, 468 nt
Filed under: uncultured bacterium
Lineage: Bacteria
Description: partial 16S ribosomal RNA
Rfam family: Bacterial small subunit ribosomal RNA
Source: RNAcentral
GACGAACGCUGGCGGCGUGCUUAACACAUGCAAGUCGAACGGAAAGGCCCUGCUUUUGUGGGGUGCUCGAGUGGCGAACGGGUGAGUAACACGUGAGUAACCUGCCCCUGACUUUGGGAUAACUUCAGGAAACUGGGGCUAAUACCGGAUAGGAGCUCCUGCUGCAUGGUGGGGGUUGGAAAGUUUCGGCGGUUGGGGAUGGACUCGAGGCUUAUCCGCUUGUUGGUGGGGUAGUGGCUUACCAAGGCUUUGACGGGUAGCCGGCCUGAGAGGGUGAACAGCCACAUUGGGACUGAGGUAGGGCCCAGAAUCCUACGGGAGGCAGCAGUGGGAAAUAUGGCGCAAUGGGCGGAAGCCUGAGACGGCAACGCCGCGUGCGGAAAGACGGCCUACGGGUUGUAAACAGAUUUCGCCUGUGAUGAAGCGUGAGUGACGGUAAUGGGUAAAGAAGCACCGGCUAACUACGUG